This 85-nucleotide transfer RNA is filed under the name Felis catus (domestic cat). It matches the Rfam family "tRNA". Rfam says of the family: Transfer RNA (tRNA) molecules are approximately 80 nucleotides in length. Their secondary structure includes four short double-helical elements and three loops (D, anti-codon, and T loops). Lineage: Eukaryota; Metazoa; Chordata; Mammalia; Carnivora; Felidae. The record is from Rfam by way of RNAcentral.
GCCUGGGUGGCUCAGUCGGUUAAGCAUCUGACUUCAGCUCAGGUCAUGAUCUCAUGGUUUGUGGGUUCGAGCCCCGCGUCGGGCU